Molecule: long non-coding RNA, 1394 nt
Organism: Diorhabda carinulata
Lineage: Eukaryota; Metazoa; Arthropoda; Insecta; Coleoptera; Chrysomelidae
Exons: 2
Source: RefSeq, a predicted model, not a curated record
CAUUUGUCAUUGGUCAUCCAUUUUCGCAACAUUUCCUUUAGAUUUAGGUACACAGACGCGGGUUGGGAGCAUAUCCCUAGAAGACGAAGGAUCUCAUUGGAAGAAGUAACCGAAAAAUUAACAGCUAACUAUGCUUUUCUGUAAUUUUCCAUUAAAUAUUUCAAUAUGGACUUGACGGUAGGUGACAGUAAAGUAUAGAUGUGAAUUUCCAGGCUGCAAUAGUAAAAAUGUGGAAUGAAAGAUGAAUAAACAUUUUAUAGAUUUCUCAAAUGCUUUCCUGGUGUGUAUUCUAAAUGGGAAAAAUUCUGUAAAAUUCAAUGCUUAACACUAAAUUAUCGCUUAUGUGAUCAUCAUUUAUGUGAAAUAAUUUUCUGGAAAGUUAUUUUACAAAUUGCAAUAGAAAACAUUUGAAAUAUAAAGCAUCUAUUCCUACCUCUCAUCUGCCCUCAUCGUCUACUUCCAUUUAUGAAAAUCAAAGCUAUGCCAAAGUUUAUGGUUGUAUACUAAAACAAGAACAUUCAUAUUAUAUAAAUACAGUUAUAGUAGACACUGAUAUGAUUAUCAAGGAGCAUCAAGUUUGUAGUUCAAUGCUCAUACCAUAACAUCUGGCAAUUUACCUAAAGAAGAGCCAUUGGAGUUUUCAAGUGAAUUUUCAGAUUCCAUUUUUACAGAGGAAAUUAGUAGUUUUGACACAGAAAAAUCGGGUUUUUUGCCUGUAACUGAAACUAGCAAUAACAAUUUAACACCUAUGGAAAUGGUUAUGUAUCAAAUAUUGGAAUACAAUAGACAAAAUAUCAAAAUCGAAAAAUAGUUUAAAGAAUAACAAAAAGCAGUUAGAGACAUUGAAGAAGAUGUAUGAAAUUUGUAUAUAAGAAAGUUAAAAUAAUGCAAUGAAAGAAUUAUUUAUUAUAUAAAGAGGAGUUGGAAGCAAGUCAUUGCCUACUAUUUUACAUCACAUACAAUAGACAUCUGCCUUGAAAAAAAAAUGGUUUCAUCUGAUGGAAUCUUGUGGGACCAAAAUUUUCUUUUAUUUAUUAUAUAAUAAUGAUUUAUUUUAGAAUUUUAUUGGCUUAAGUUUACAGAGAACAUAUUUGUUUUCAAACUUUUAAUGUUUAUUUUUCUUUGAAAGACUGUAUUAUGUGUAAUAGGUUUAUUUUCUUGUUUUGAUUUUGAGACAUAUUUAUGAAUUUUCCACACAUUUGUAUAGAAUAUUAUUUUUGUUAAAUCCAAAAAUGAGAGUACUGUUUUAUUUCUGGUUAAUAUUUAUUUACACUUCUCAAUUUGUUAGAGAAAUAUGUAUUUUAUUAGUUCUUAUUUUAAAAGUGAUAUUGUAAUCAUGUCUACUAAUUUUCCUUGGUUUAGAAGAAUAUAUGUAAAUAAACGUAUCCCAGUUC